This is a long non-coding RNA of Xiphophorus couchianus (Monterrey platyfish), 362 nucleotides long. RefSeq lists it as uncharacterized. The transcript has 2 exons. Lineage: Eukaryota; Metazoa; Chordata; Actinopteri; Cyprinodontiformes; Poeciliidae. The record is from RefSeq and is a predicted model, not a curated record.
GGAUGUCAAAACAACCAGUGAGCCCGCUAGCUCCUGUCAAAAAACCGAAUUUGUUGCCUAAUAUCGCUUUUAUUUUGUUGGUUUGACUGUAAAAAUGGUCACAGGGUGCUGGGCUGUCGGCAAACGGAUGAGGAUGAUAACUAAACUUUUCAUUUUAUCGUCUUGAUGAGGAAAACAGACGGUGAAGGAUAGCAGCAGCUGUCAAUCAUGACUGCAAACCCUCGGCUUGAUUGCGGAUUUGCAGCAAAAACAUUUUACAAGGACUUGCUUCAGUGGAUUCAUACCUGCACAAAAGGUCCAGACCAACGGCAGAAACCAACUCUGGUCCAUUUAAAGUGGAUCAAAUGUGUCAUGAUUCAAUA